Molecule: ribosomal RNA, 446 nt
Filed under: uncultured bacterium
Lineage: Bacteria
Description: partial 16S ribosomal RNA
Rfam family: Bacterial small subunit ribosomal RNA
Source: RNAcentral
CCUACGGGAGGCAGCAGUAGGGAAUUUUCGGCAAUGGGGGGAACCCUGACCGAGCAACGCCGCGUGAACGAAGAAGUUAUUCGUAAUGUAAAGUUCUUUUAACAGGGGAGCAAGAGAAGUUUGACGGUACCUGAAGAGUAAGCCCGGGCUAACUACGUGCCAGCAGCCGCGGUAAUACGUAGGGAGCGAGCGUUGUCCGGAAUUAUUGGGCGAAAAGGGUGCGUAGAUGGAAUAGUAAGUCUUUGGUAAAAAUGCUGGGCUCAACCCAGUAGGGCAAAAGAUACUGCAAAGCUAGAGUAUGAGAGAGGCAAGUGGAACGAGAUGUGUAGCGGUAAAAUGCGUAAAUAUAUGUAAGAACACCAGUUGCGAAGGCGGCUUGCUGGGUCUAUACUGACACUGAGGCACGAAAGCGUGGGGAGCGAACAGGAUUAGAUACCCUUGUAGUC